AAUUCGAUUGAGUUUGAUCAUGGCUCAGCCUGAACGCUGGCGGCGUGGCUAAGACAUGCAAGUCGUACGGGGCCGUAGCAAUACGGUCCAGUGGCGGACGGGUGAGUAAUGAAUCGCUAAUGUACCCCGGACUUUGGGAUAGCCGGUCGAAAGACCGGGUAAUACCAGAUGAUGUGGCGGCAGGGCAUCCUGUUGACCCCAAAGGGAAACCGGUCUGGGAGCAGGCGAUUUCGUAUCAGGUAGUUGGUGCGGGUAACGGCCCACCAAGCCGACGACGCGUAGCUGGUCUGAGAGGACGGCCAGCCACAUUGGGACUGAGACACUGCCCAGACUCCUACGGGGGGCUGCAGUAACGAAUCUUCCGCAAUGCACGCAAGUGUGACGGAGCGACGCCGCGUGGAGGUUAAGUCCUUCGGGAUGUAAACUCCUGUCAGGGGUUACCAAGUUCUGAGGAGCCCCAGAGGAAGGCACGGCUAACUCUGUGCCAGCAGCCGCGGUAAUACAGAGGUGCCAAGCGUUAGGCGGAAUCACUGGGCUUAAAGCGCGCGUAGGCGGAUGUUUAAGUGUCUUGUGAAAUCCCACGGCUCAACCGUGGAACUGCUGGGCAUACUGGACAUCUCGAGGCACUCAGGGGCGAGCGGAACAAGUGGUGGAGCGGUGAAAUGCGUAGAUAUCACUUGGAACGCCAAUGGUGAAGACAGCUCGCUGGGGGUGUCCUGACGCUGAGGCGCGAAAGCCAGGGGAGCGAACGGGAUUAGAUACCCCGGUAGUCCUGGCCCUAAACGAUGUCCACUAGAUCAUGGCG
This 805-nucleotide ribosomal RNA is filed under the name uncultured bacterium. Its description in RNAcentral is "bacterial SSU rRNA". It matches the Rfam family "Bacterial small subunit ribosomal RNA", at positions 1 to 828 of the family's 1533-position model. The record is from RNAcentral.